RNAcentral lists this long non-coding RNA (2451 nucleotides) under Brassica rapa (field mustard). RNAcentral describes it as "long non-coding RNA (BRAP_LNC005418)". The record is from RNAcentral. Lineage: Eukaryota; Viridiplantae; Streptophyta; Magnoliopsida; Brassicales; Brassicaceae.
ACCAGCAUAUUCACAUAUGAAAGAACCAGCACGAAUGGGAUCCCACGACCGUAAACCCCAACCACGGUUCGCCGUCUUAAACACCUCCAUCCGGAACUUAAGUCCUGUCUGAAUCACUUUGUUUUUGCAACCGGCGUUACACGGACAGGUUGAACCACAUUCAUAUACCAUUGGCCUCCUGGAAACAAGCAUAACGCCGUUAAGGUAAGGAAGAUCGCCACCGUUCAUUCUGAUGCAAGAGCAGUUUAGAUCUCCCGGCGCACACGAGCCACGGCAGGAGCAACCAGUUGCUGUGUUCUGCUGGGUUAUUCUAAAGGCUUCAGAGUGUUUGAGAGUGGAGAUGUAAGUAAAAUAAGAAGGCCCCUUCUCAUCAUCAAAGUCAUUCACAAGGGAAACAGGUUUGCUCUCAACACCUGAAGUGAUAUCCGGAAGUAUAAGUCCUCUUCUUGGAGUCAUCAAACCUUCUUUCCACUUAUGAACAGCUUUCCAGAACCCAAAAGCAGGUGGCUGACCUGGCACUCUCACCAAUCUAUACUUAAACGUGUUGCAGCCAGACUUGCCUUUCUCCACCCAUGACUCCGAGAUUGUAUAAAGCCCAUCGUAAAUAUAGAUCUUCCCCGUUUUACUAGCUGGAUCCUCUUCUCCUCUGAUAACUCUAACUCCAUUCCCUUUCCUCAAGCUUCUCUCUAACGCAAGAUUCCCUCUCUCAAGCUUCUGAUCAGACGCUUGUUUGUUCUUGUCUGCAUUCCCUCCUUGUCCGCUGUAGAUUAAAGACUCAGGAUCCUGGGCCUCGCCGUCAUAGCGUCCGGCUGAAACAAUGCUGGUAGCUAGAGGCUCCUCAUCUGCACCUGCUGCUUUGCUCGUUAUGUAGUCAAUGCCGGCCAUUGUCUGCAUGUGGAGACCCACUAAGCACAUCUCUAUCCGUGAAAAGAAGAUAUCUCCAACUUCGAUUCCUGGAACCGUUCCAACUCUCUUUUUCAUGUUUGUCCUCACCCCGUUGCUCAUCAAAGAGCCUGCUGCUUUAGCGGUCGCGGCCUUUGCGUACUCCACUUGACUGAGACGCCUCCUAACAGCAUCAAAACGCAUCAGCACGGUGCUUACUAAGUCCACAUUGCCGUCUUCUCGCUCUGCUGCACUGAUCCCGCUGUCGAAAACUCCACUGAAACGCUUCACAACCUGAACAUCCAAAGUAGGCUCUUGGGGGACUGUCUUGUCUUUUUUCUUGGCGUUGCCGCUUCCCUUAGGACGACCUCUUUUAGCUCCGGUUGAGCUGCUAGGGCCGUUUGAUGCAGUGGUAGUGGGAGAUCUGUAUGAUUGAAGAGGUGGAACAAACGAUGGAGGAGGUGUGUACUGAGUCUGGUUGAGAUCUGGAGUGUCUUGUGUAGGUGGUUGUGAUCCAAAUGGGAAGAAAGGUGAGUAGCCUGUAGAAGAAGGGCCAAAAGGUGGAACUCCAACAAAGGGUGGACCUUGAUUGCCAUUUGGAAAAACAGGUUUUAGACUUCUCAGUGGUUUAACAUCUAGCACUAUAGACUUGUCAUAAUGGUUAGGAUUUGGAACUCCUUCCAUUGCUAAAACUCCUGUCAAAAAUGAGACCAACAUUUGGGUUAAAGAGCAUUGACAAAGCUUAGAUUAUUAUUAGCAUAUGAAUAAAGUAUGAUGAAAUAAAUAUCACAGCAUUUUACUGCAUAGCCCCUCUAGAACAACACCUUGCAGUGACCUUGUGGGUUAUAUAUACUCUUUGCAGUACUAAAAGCAGAAAAAAAAAAGUUAUAAGGAAAUGCAAAAGAAUCCAUUUAAGAGCAACCUUAGGUUCAAUAAAAGUCCCUAGAAGAAUCGAAAACCCAAAAAAAUGCAAACUUUGCUAUAUUUUGUAGACCGAGCAGCUAUGGUUCAUGAACCGAGCUACAUUUCCAAAACUCUUAGCACUGAUCAGGAGCGGUGCUGGGAGAUUAAACUCCUCAGAGAGUUCAUCUGAAGGAUCCUCAUCUACUAACGCAGGCUCAUAGUUCCAUUUAAACGAGUUAUAAACACGCGAUGUGUCAAAGACAUACUCAUCCUCUUCUUGGUCCAUUCUAAGUGUUUCUUGGUCUUUGACCUCACCAGCAUAUUCACAUAUGAAAGAACCAGCACGAAUGGGAUCCCACGACCGUAAACCCCAACCACGGUUCGCCGUCUUAAACACCUCCAUCCGGAACUUAAGUCCUGUCUGAAUCACUUUGUUUUUGCAACCGGCGUUACACGGACAGGUUGAACCACAUUCAUAUACCAUUGGCCUCCUGGAAACAAGCAUAACGCCGUUAAGGUAAGGAAGAUCGCCACCGUUCAUUCUGAUGCAAGAGCAGUUUAGAUCUCCCGGCGCACACGAGCCACGGCAGGAGCAACCAGUUGCUGUGUUCUGCUGGGUUAUUCUAAAGGCUUCAGAGUGUUUGAGAGUGGAGAUGUAAGUAAAAU